RNAcentral lists this long non-coding RNA (2393 nucleotides) under Lactuca sativa (garden lettuce). Its description in RNAcentral is "long non-coding RNA (LSAT_LNC009992)". The record is from RNAcentral. Lineage: Eukaryota; Viridiplantae; Streptophyta; Magnoliopsida; Asterales; Asteraceae.
UAUGAUCUGAUAAUUGAACAUCAACUUCCAGGUGAAACUGCAAAUUCCAUGCAACCUCCUGAAAGAGGAUGUCAGGCGCAAGAAACAGGUGUAUUGUGUGAUAGGACAACGUGUUUUUCAUGCAACUGUAUCAAAGAAGCAAAUGCACAAAGGGUUAGAGGAACUAUUUUGGUGAGAACAUUUUUUUUUUACUUUCAAGAAACUGUAAAUAACUAAAUAUUUAAUCAACUUAUGUUUUACAUAUGUGGCUACUUUCAGAUGCCAUGUAGGACAGCAACACGAGGGAGUUUUCCACUCAAUGGCACAUACUUUCAAGUUAAUGAGGUAUGUUAGAGUUUUGAAAUUUAGUUUUUAAACAUGUAAUAAGUCCAGAUCAUGAGAUUAGUUGGUGCCAUGUCAUCGAUCUAUGUGCAGAUGUUUGCUGAUCAUGCAUCAAGUUUGAAUCCAAUUGAUGUUCCAAGGGCAUGGAUUUGGAAUUUGCCAAGACGAACAGUGUACUUUGGGACUUCUGUAUCAACAAUCUUCAAAGGUAUCAGUAAUUGGGAUAUACUUAUGCAUCUCUAUUAGGGUUUGAUUGGUAUAAUGGAAUCAUGGAAUGGAAUCACAAGGGAAUGGAAUGGAUCAUUACAUUCCAUUAUCAUUAGAAAGUAAAAGAAAUUACACAUCAACAUAUUCCAUCUCAUUUGAUAUAUAAUAUGUAUAUAUUUCAAAAAAUCAAAAAACAUGUAUUCACCACUUUGAAAAAAUUGUAUACAAAACUAGAAAUUUAGAUACCAUGAAAUCUUAGAAUAGAACUAUAAAGGAAAAAAGCACUUUUAGUUAUUUUCUAAAAAAAAGAAAAAGUAAUGCUUAGGUCUCCGUACAUUUUAAUACAAGCAAUUAAUUAAACUAUGAAAACUGGUUCUUGUAGGGCUGACUACUCAAGAAAUUCAACAAUGCUUUUGGAGAGGUAUGUAGUACUUCAAUUCAUAAUGCUUUUCAAAUAAUAUCAAUUAUUAGCUUAAUGAUAUGACAUGGAACAUUUGCAGGGUUUGUUUGUGUGAGAGGUUUUGAUCAGAAAACGCGGGCCCCAAGGCCUCUAAUGGCAAGAUUGCAUUUUCCAGCAAGUAGACUAGUCAAUAAAAAGAACGAAGACAAAUAGGUUCUCAAGGGCAAAGAGGUCAAUGACUAACAAACUGUUGUACAUUCAUCUAUCCAUCAUUUAACAUGACCCAUGGCAUCAUGCAUUUUUGCAUGUAACUUAGAGAGGAAAGAAAGAGAGAAAAAGUUGAGUAAAAGUGGUAUCAUCCACAAACCACCUGCAAUUAGUUGAUACAAGAUUUCUAGUAUCAUAAAAUUUUCGUUUUUCUUAUGCUCCAAAACGAGCCAUUUUUUAUCAGUUAGAACAUUACAGAAGAAAGAAGAAAGAGAUUAGUUGAGCAGUAGUUAUUUUUCUUUUUCUGAUUAAGUUAUGUAUUUUCAAACAGCUUUGAAAUAAUAUGAUGAUCUAUAUGAGAAGCCAUUGCUUCAAACAUUAGUCACCAUAUACAUGUUUUGGAAAUGAAAGAAAAUGACAUAUUUUUGGUUGAAUUACAGAAUAUCUAGUUUUUCACUUUUUUGUUAGGUCAUCAAUUCAUUAAAGAUGAUAUCAUUCACUAAAAGACUUAAAAGUUGUAGGACCAUUAAAAAAAGGGGGGAAGUACUUUCUACUAUUAUUGUGGUCCAAGAAUUUGACUUGCUUUCAUAAAAAAAUACCAAAAAACUAUUUGGUUAAAAAGAAAAUAAACAAGUCAAAUCAUGAAAACUGAAGUCAAAAAGAAUCAUCCUACUAGAUAGUUUUGUCAUUUUCAUAAAUGAUAGUUUUUUUGUGUGUUUAACAAAAAGAAUGAACUUAUAAAGAACAACUUUUCCCAUUACGAUCAUCAGAUCUGUGCAAUAUAAAAUCUACUCAUCACCAUUAUGAGACAACUGCCACAUGGAAGUUAAUUGUUUAUUAUUCAUCCCAUCACGUUUUGUUUACCCCAUCUCCACACUGUUCCACCACCCUCAAUCGAUCGCCUUAUGCUUGAAUGAAUGUGAGCAAGAUAAAAGUAAUACACAUCAUUAGAAAGCCUAAAUAUAUACACGCAAGGCUAAACAAAGAAUGAAGAAUACGAUCCUGAAAACAGAUAUACGGUGACUUUUCAAACUAUUAAACACGGUGAACCACCAAUAUGAUCAACAAAAUAGCGAUUGCGAUCAAUCAAAUCGAUUCAAAUAUAAACUAUACAAUAAUUUGUAAUUAAGUAAUCACAGAAUAUGGAGAAUUUACCUUAUAAGCAUUACAAAGAAGAACCAAAUUCUGCAGAAAGAUCCAAAUCUGGACACGAGAGAAAAAGUUGGAUUUAGUAUGUAUUUGGAUUUUGGGUUGCCGC